GAUGAACGCUGGCGGCGUGCCUAAUACAUGCAAGUCGAGCGAACGGACGAGAAGCUUGCUUCUCUGAUGUUAGCGGCGGACGGGUGAGUAACACGUGGAUAGCCUACCUAUAAGACUGGGAUAACUUCGGGAAACCGGAGCUAAUACCGGAUGAUAUUUUGAACCGCAUGGUUCAAAAGUGAAAGACGGUCUUGCUGUCACUUAUAGAUGGAUCCGCGCUGCAUUAGCUAGUUGGUAAGGUAACGGCUUACCAAGGCAACGAUGCAUAGCCGACCUGAGAGGGUGAUCGGCCACACUGGAACUGAGACACGGUCCAGACUCCUACGGGAGGCAGCAGUAGGGAAUCUUCCGCAAAGGUCGAAAGCCUGACGGAGCAACGCCGCGUGAGUGAUGAAGGUCUUCGGAUCGUAAAACUCUGUUAUUAGGGAAGAACAUAUGUGUAAGUAACUGUGCACAUCUUGACGGUACCUAAUCAGAAAGCCACGGCUAACUACGUG
RNAcentral lists this ribosomal RNA (497 nucleotides) under uncultured bacterium. RNAcentral describes it as "partial 16S ribosomal RNA". It matches the Rfam family "Bacterial small subunit ribosomal RNA", at positions 28 to 507 of the family's 1533-position model. The record is from RNAcentral.